GACGAACGCUGGCGGCGUGCUUAACACAUGCAAGUCGAACGGAAAGGCCCUGCUUUUGUGGGGUGCUCGAGUGGCGAACGGGUGAGUAACACGUGAGUAACCUGCCCUUGACUUUGGGAUAACUUCAGGAAACUGGGGCUAAUACCGUAUAGGAUCUCCUGUUGCAUGGUGGGGGUUGGAAAGUUUCGGCGGUUGGGGAUGGACUCGCGGCUUAUCAGCUUGUUGGUGGGGGAGGGGCUUACCAAGGCUUUGACGGGUAGCCGGCCGGAGAGGGUGACCGGCCACAUUGGGACUGAGAUACGGAGCAGACUCCAACGGGAGGCAGAAGGGGGGAGUAUGGCACAAUGGGCGGAAGCCUGAUGCAGCAACGCCGCGUGCGGGAUGACGGCCUGCGGGGUGUAAACCGCUUUAGCUUGUGACGAAGCGGGAGUGACGGUACUGGGUAAAGAAGCACCGGCUAACUACGUG
Molecule: ribosomal RNA, 468 nt
Filed under: uncultured bacterium
Lineage: Bacteria
Description: partial 16S ribosomal RNA
Rfam family: Bacterial small subunit ribosomal RNA
Source: RNAcentral